Molecule: ribosomal RNA, 243 nt
Filed under: Helicobacter heilmannii type 1
Lineage: Bacteria; Pseudomonadati; Campylobacterota; Epsilonproteobacteria; Campylobacterales; Helicobacteraceae
Description: partial 16S ribosomal RNA
Rfam family: Bacterial small subunit ribosomal RNA
Source: RNAcentral
AGUGAACGCUGGCGGCGUGCCUAAUACAUGCAAGUCGAACGAUGAAGCCUAGCUUGCUAGGUUGAUUAGUGGCGCACGGGUGAGUAAUGCAUAGAUGACAUGCCCUUUAGUUUGGAAUAGCCACUAGAAAUGGUGAUUAAUACCAAAUACUACCUUACGAGGGAAAGAUUUAUCGCUAAAGGAUUGGUCUAUGUCCUAUCAGCUUGUUGGUGAGGUAAAGGCUCACCAAGGCUAUGACGGGUA